Molecule: non-coding RNA, 840 nt
Filed under: Utterbackia peninsularis (peninsular floater)
Lineage: Eukaryota; Metazoa; Mollusca; Bivalvia; Unionida; Unionidae
Source: RNAcentral
CACUUCGUUCUGAUGCUAAGUUAACUAUGACUUCUAAACUACAUAUGGUAAUUUAUUGUGCUUUGUGAACAAUCUACUGAUUAAGGGGAGAUGUUUAACACACUCAACCUAAACGUUAGAAACGGGUGCUUUUACCCACGGAAUACCCACAACACCAAUGCAUUAUAUUGUCUUACAGCUAGGAAACUAGGCAACAGAGAUUGUCACUCACAAGUGUCUAACUAAGGUGCCAGCAGUCGCGGUUACACCUAAACUUGGGGUUAAUUUUCUCAAAAAAGAGGUUUAAUGUAAUUGAUCUCAAUUUCCCUUGUAAAGUUGGAAUUCAAACUUCCGGCAAAAUACCCUAACAGAUCUUAUCACUCCCCUCAACAAACCACAACUACAAGACAGGGAUUAGAUACCCCAUUAUUGAGUGGCCCCACAAUAACAAAUACUAAAAACGAAAGUUUCAAACUUAAAGAACGUGGCGGUGUUCUACAACCUUAUUAGGGGAUCCUGUGGCUUAAUUCGAUAAUCCACGACUAAUUGAAGCUUUAUUAGCUAACAGCUUAUGUAUGGCCGUAACAAGUUUCCGUUUUAACAAGAUAAAAGGAGACCCGUAAAGAAAUACUUUAUUAACUCAGGUGACAUAUAGCCCAUAUAAAGCAGUUCAUGGGAUACAAAUAACCAUUACUAUCAGAAAGUAGUUUGAAAAUUCUACCAAAGGAGGACUUAAAAGUAAGCUUAAAACAAAACUUUAAACUGAACAAGAUCUAGAACGCGUACAAAUCGCCCGUCACUCCUGGUUAAUUACUGGGAUAAGUCGUAACACAGUAGGGGUAACGGAAGUUGCCCCUAAAU